GCGAACGGGUGAGUAACACGUGAGUAACCUGCCCUUAACUCUGGGAUAAGCCUGGGAAACUGGGUCUAAUACCGGAUAUGACUCCUCAUCGCAUGGUGGGGGGUGGAAAGCUUUUUGUGGUUUUGGAUGGACUCGCGGCCUAUCAGCUUGUUGGUGAGGUAAUGGCUCACCAAGGCGACGACGGGUAGCCGGCCUGAGAGGGUGACCGGCCACACUGGGACUGAGACACGGCCCAGACUCCUACGGGAGGCAGCAGUGGGGAAUAUUGCACAAUGGGCGAAAGCCUGAUGCAGCGACGCCGCGUGAGGGAUGACGGCCUUCGGGUUGUAAACCUCUUUCAGUAGGGAAGAAGCGAAAGUGACGGUACCUGCAGAAGAAGCGCCGGCUAACUACGUGCCAGCAGCCGCGGUAAUACGUAAGGGCGCAAGCGUUAUCCCGGAAUUAUUGGGCGUAAAGAGCUCGUA
Molecule: ribosomal RNA, 464 nt
Filed under: Arthrobacter sp. NN27
Lineage: Bacteria; Bacillati; Actinomycetota; Actinomycetes; Micrococcales; Micrococcaceae
Description: bacterial SSU rRNA
Rfam family: Bacterial small subunit ribosomal RNA
Source: RNAcentral